Non-coding RNA from Meleagris gallopavo (turkey), 2355 nucleotides. Lineage: Eukaryota; Metazoa; Chordata; Aves; Galliformes; Phasianidae. The record is from RefSeq and is a predicted model, not a curated record.
AUCUGCUCCCACUGACUGUGAUGGGGAAGGGACCGCGGGUCUGCGUGGUGCUGCGCUCGAUGCUUCCCCUCUGCUCGAUGCUUCCCCUCUGCUCGGUGUUGGGAAUGGUGUGUGAGAGCCCCAGGAGCCAUAAUUGCCUCUUGACAGCCAGCAUCUGCCUUUCCCUCUGCCAGCCUCCACCUGGUUGCCUCCACCUACAACUGAGCUAACUCCAGCAGCCACCACUGCCACCACCACCGCCAUCCCUACUACUGAAACCCCUCCUACUGAAAUCCCUACUACUGCCAUCCCUACCACCACCACUACUACAACCACCACAGCUGCCAGCACCGUCGCAAGCACUACAACAACUGCAGAGAGGGCUGUGGCAGCCACCACAAAACAGGAGCUGGCCACCAAUGGAUCGUCCAUAUGGGACAUAAGAGCUUGGGCUAAUAGUAACUGGGCAAACAUCACCUGGAGCCACAAUUACUCUGCAGGAACUGACUUUGUGGUUAAGUAUAUCACCAGUAACAAGACAGAGAAAUCUAUCCCCGUUAAAGCUCAGACCCCCUCCUCUGUGCAGCUGGCCAAUCUGACGCCGGGGAUGGUGUACAAGCUGUGGGUGUUCCCCAUAUGGUCUAACCCCAGCGAGCAUUCGUACAUAACCUUUACCACCAGCUCAGGUGAGCGGGGCUGCGUGUCCACUGCAUGUCACUGCGUCCCCACGGGUGGCACCGGCGUGGUGGUGGGAGGGGGACAAGCACAACCCUGCCCUUAAGAGCCACCCGAGCAUCCUGAUUGCAUUGAACAAAGGGCAAAAGGAAGGGGUUGAAUCAGGGUGAGGAGCACGUGCAUGAGUUGGGGACAGCACCACAGCCACACAUGGUGCGGGCAAUGGCUCUUCAGCUCGGUGAAAGGCAAGGUAUGUUCCCCCGGCAACUUUGCAUUUAAUUGCACAAGCAAUUUUCCAGGCUUAUCACCUCAGUGAUUUUUAGAGCUUCCUAAUUAUGGGCUUCCUACACUGCCCACUGAAUGCCACAGAAGGAGCCUUACUGACUUCCACUGGCACUCAAUCAGGCUUUAUGCAUUUCUAAAGCAUCCCUGUUGACACACGAUGAGUGUCAGUAAAUCACGACGCCCGUGCUUCCCUUUGUGUCCGCUCGUGGGUUGUGCCGUAGGAAUCUGUGUGCAAUGCUGUCCAAGCAGAGGGCUCAGCUCUGCACAGCAGCUGUGUGAGCAGCACCGGAGCAGCCCACGCUGCAGUAGGUAAAGGCUGAGAUUUCAGAGAACUGAGAUUACUUUGCUGAGAUCCAGCAGUGUGAUGGAGAGCUGAAGCACAAAAGCCAUCUCUUUGCUCAGGAGCAAGAUGUUAGUUCCCAGCAAAGGAAGGCUGCAGCAGCAGCUCUCCCCACCUUACUCCAUGCACCUGCAGCCCAAGUGCUAGCAAGGCAUUGCUCCAUCAAAUAAUUCCCUGGUGUGCUAAGCAGGGACAGAGGGCAGCUGUUGGUAAUCCUGAGCGUCCAACACUACCCAAUGCUGAUAUUGCCUCAGGCACGGCAGCAUGGUACACCUCUCCAUGAGGAUGUGCAGCAUCCCCAAUUUCUGCUCCCAGACUGACUCAGAAAUUGCCCCCAGGUUGCAGUCCCCUCACCCAUACCAUGCAACACCCUUCUGCAUCACUGCUCCCCAGCUCGGACCCGUCUCUUCUCUUCUCUUGCAGCUUUUCUCACACUUUGGGCGUUAGGGUGGAGGACCACCAGCACCAAGGGGUGGGAAAUCAUUAGAACAGGAGGCCACAUCCUUGGCUGAUUGAUGCUGGCAUGGCUAUCUGCAGUAAUUUAUGGGUUUCUUCUGCCGUUACUGAGACAAUGCACAGGGGCCACCCAACCCUGUCCCCACAGCUCCAUCCCUGCCCAUUUUUCACUGCUAGAUUCUGCUGAGACGGGUGCUCAGCCCCCGCUGACAAUCACAUGCUGCAGGAAUGCUGGUGAUCAGAGAGCCCUGUUCAUUUUGCUUGUUGGUUGUAAUGUUUGCCAAAUAGCUGUUCUUCAGAUCGAAUGCAGAUAAAUAAGAGGUCCACACGCACCACGCCUUCUCUUGUGCUUAACUUGACAGCUCAAUAUCCCAAAAGAGCUCUUUCCAAUAGUAAAUGGCAUUUAAACUACAAAUAUAGCUUAAUGCAAAUUGUCUUCUAAAUUCAAGAAGCAAUGUAAAACGCUGAAGGGGGAUCUGUGCAGGACUGCAGCUAGCUGGGCUUCACACACCCAAUUGCUUCACAAACGUGACAUAAAUUUUGCUGGCCUGCUGUCAGAAUACAGUCAGCUUUGCUACUGGCGUAUAAACCACGACUGUUGGGUAACAUGUUUUCUGCCA